This 252-nucleotide ribosomal RNA is filed under the name uncultured bacterium. RNAcentral describes it as "partial 16S ribosomal RNA". It matches the Rfam family "Bacterial small subunit ribosomal RNA", at positions 524 to 776 of the family's 1533-position model. The record is from RNAcentral.
UACGUAGGGGGCAAGCGUUGUCCGGAAUUAUUGGGCGUAAAGCGCGCGCAGGCGGUCAUUUAAGUCUUAUGUUUAAACCCAAGGCUCAACCUUGGGACGCAUGGGAAACUGGGUGGCUUGAGUGUAGGAGAGGAAAGUGGAAUUCCACGUGUAGCGGUGAAAUGCGUAGAUAUCGAGAGGAACACCUGCGGCGAAGGCGGGUUGCUGGGCUGACACUGACGCUGAGGCGCGAAAGCGUGGGGAGCGAACAGG